RNAcentral lists this transfer RNA (76 nucleotides) under Abditibacteriota bacterium. Its description in RNAcentral is "tRNA-Arg(cct)". It matches the Rfam family "tRNA". From Rfam's summary of the family: Transfer RNA (tRNA) molecules are approximately 80 nucleotides in length. Their secondary structure includes four short double-helical elements and three loops (D, anti-codon, and T loops). The record is from RNAcentral. Lineage: Bacteria; Pseudomonadati; Abditibacteriota.
UGCCUUCAUAGCUCAAUGGAUAGAGCAGACCUCUCCUAAGGGUAAGAUCGGGGUUCGAUUCCCUGUGAGGGCAUCC